This 504-nucleotide ribosomal RNA is filed under the name uncultured bacterium. RNAcentral's name for it is "partial 16S ribosomal RNA". It matches the Rfam family "Bacterial small subunit ribosomal RNA", at positions 30 to 523 of the family's 1533-position model. The record is from RNAcentral.
AUUGAACGCUGGCGGCAGGCCUAACACAUGCAAGUCGGACGGUAGCACAGAGAGCUUGCUCUCGGGUGACGAGUGGCGGACGGGUGAGUAAUGUCUGGGGAUCUGCCCGAUAGAGGGGGAUAACCACUGGAAACGGUGGCUAAUACCGCAUAACGUCGCAAGACCAAAGAGGGGGACCUUCGGGCCUCUCACUAUCGGAUGAACCCAGAUGGGAUUAGCUAGUAGGCGGGGUAACGGCCAACCUGGGCGACGAUCCCUAGCUGGUCUGAGAGGAUGACCAGCCACACUGAGACUGUGACACAGUCCAGACACCUACGGGAGACAGCAGUGGUGAAUAUUGCACUGUGGGCUCAAGCCUGAUGCAGCCAUGCCGCGUGUAUGAAGAAGGCCUUCGAGUUGUAAAGUACUUUCAGCGGGGAGGAAGGCGAUGUGGUUAAUAACCGCAUUGAUUGACGUUACCCGCAGAAGAAGCACCGGCUAACUCCGUGCCAGCAGCCGCAGUAA